AGAAGGAUCUUAUAAGGUUUCUGUUGUGACUGCGCCUUCGGGGAUUAUGGUUGAUGGUCAUGGGAUUCGAAGAGGAAGAAAAAACCCUCGUGAUGAGGGUUCACUGGAGGAGUUGCGCAGGAAGCGACUUAGAGAGCUAUAUGGGGGAUCUUCUGAGGAAGAUUCAGAUGGGGAGUUUGGGGAAAUGGAUGCUGAAGAACAGGUGGUGGCUGGGGAAGUGGGCACUGAAUGGGCACAGCCACCGGAGAUGUCUGGAGAUUUGGGGCCUAUGGAUACUUCUGAACCUGGGGUUUCUGCAGGAGCUGAUCCCACUUGGGAUGCUUGGAGAAGGGAGGAUGGUUCUUUAAGUGUUCAUGGGGCUAAGUGUGGGCAGGAUGAUUGGGACUCAGACGAAUUGCUAUGUACUCCGGAUCCACGAGCUCUAGCUGUGUGGAAUUCGGACUCUGAGUAGAUUUGGGAAACCUGGUGUUUGGGUGUGAGUGUUUGGUCACCCAGGAGGAAGGGGAAUAAAAUGGGAAUGUUUGGCCAUUGCACUUUGCGUGUGGCAAGGUGUUGCUGAGGCGCCAUUGGGAUCUCUGUGUUUCCGUGAAGACUGGACUUGGACUGUGAUUCGGAUCUGCUGAUACCAUCUGGCUUGGCUCUCGCUGUGUCUUAUCGUGGACCUGGUUUGGAUGACUGCACCCUCUUCGGACUUUGGAUUGAAUUUGACCUGGCUUCUGUCUAUGCUCUCUGACUGACGACUACUCCCGGCUUCUGAAUACUGGUUUGCCUUUCGGAAUUUGCUGCUGCCUCCCGACCUGACCUUGGAUUCUCCUGACGACGGCUAUUCAUCAUCCCUUUGAAGCUUCGGCUUUAUCUGCACCGUGGAAGCAGUUUACUGCUCUUCUAGUUUGUUUGUUUUCAAGCCAGUUUGCUGUUUUUCUUUUGGGAACUGUCCCUUUAACUCCGCAGAGCCGGCUGUCUGUUUGCAGAAACGGUUUGAAGCCAAAAGAGGCUUUUGCACUUUCUGUUAUACUCUGCAGCUUUUGGAAGGUUUCAAGCCUUCGUUUAUUUUGCAUAUUUUCUUGCAGUCAACUCUAUUUGUUUCUCCAAAGCUGAAUUGAAGCGUCUUUAGUUUUUAUUGAAUGCCAGCAUGGGAAAAUAGCGUGGCUUGUUUUUGAGUUAUUUUUGUCUAAACUACUCUUGAAACACUGAUAAGUGAAGUGUUUCAAGGAUACUUUCUGUGUUUAUGUUAUUUUUGGCUUAUCUUUGGAAUAAACUCUGUUUUGUUUGUUAA
Molecule: long non-coding RNA, 1276 nt
Organism: Anolis carolinensis (green anole)
Lineage: Eukaryota; Metazoa; Chordata; Lepidosauria; Squamata; Anolidae
Exons: 2
Source: RefSeq, a predicted model, not a curated record